Long non-coding RNA from Oreochromis aureus, 380 nucleotides. RefSeq lists it as uncharacterized. Lineage: Eukaryota; Metazoa; Chordata; Actinopteri; Cichliformes; Cichlidae. The transcript is spliced from 2 exons. The record is from RefSeq and is a predicted model, not a curated record.
AGCAGGAGCAGCAGCAACCCCUCAACACCAACAUUGUACCCAUCAGCUUUGAGCACCCGCCCCUGUAAACGUCUCUGCACGGCCCUGCCUGGACCCCACAGUUACAGCUGGAUACCGAGUGCCGCCUGGUGUCUGAGUGUGAGAGCUCCCCCUCAACCUAUUCCUACUUUAACGUAACAUCACUUUAACAUAACAUCACUGCUCAAAGUGGCUGCUAAAACCUCAAACCAAAGGAAAUGACCUGGGCUACCGGGUGGACAGUCCGCUGAUUAAUGAAACUAUCCUGUCGACUUAAAUUAAUUUAAAAAAAAAAAACAUUUUUAAAAGUAAAGCGAUAAUUGUCAUUAUUUCGGUAAAAUUUUCCCAUUUGUGUAAUAAUC